Molecule: RNA transcript, 3899 nt
Organism: Solanum tuberosum (potato)
Lineage: Eukaryota; Viridiplantae; Streptophyta; Magnoliopsida; Solanales; Solanaceae
Exons: 5
Source: RefSeq, a predicted model, not a curated record
CUAUCCUACCCCCUCGCUCCUCCCCCAAACACCCUUCUCCCACUGGCCAUUGCCAUCCCCUCCCCUUUUGCUCCUGUCACCACCUUCCAUCAUCAUCACUUCCUCCUCUUCUUCCUUCUUCACCAUCACCAUAACCACAUCCUUCUUAUCCACCGCUGCAACUACAACAACCAUCACCUUCUUUGUUACCAUCAAUAUCUCCUUGCCGUCAUAACUAAUCUCUCCUUUAUCUCACUUGUUGAAAUUGUUGCAGCAAGUAUGAUAUUUGCUGCAACAAUUUCAGCAUUCAAGUCUAGGAGUGGACAUUCGGUUCUUCGAAUUUAUCAACUUCGUUUGAUCUUUCGAUUUUAGAAAAUAGACAAGUGUGCACUGCACCUAUACCAAAUCAAACUAAUUCAGUUUUUCUACUUUAAUUUAGUUUGUUAUUUUUAAAUCAAUUUUUCGAUUCGAAUGAAAAAUAAAAUGAGUACAAAAGCAGCGCGACUCAGCCCAGUACGGUCCUUUAAAUCUAAAACCCACCUGACUUUUCAUAUUCCUCAACUUACGACUAUCAGCACUUCGCAUUUUUCAUCUACCAUGAUAUACUUCUGUAAUGAUGUUAAUGGAGGAGAACGCCUAUCAAUUUACAACCCCGACGUUUUUCUACUUCCAGCUUUGGGAGAGAUGAACACUCAAUAGAACAGGAAGCUCAAAGAAAAGUAGGAUGGCUCUUAAAUUUAAUUUUUCCUGGGACUGCUACUGUUAUUGGGAGACAAUCUGACGCAGCAGUCUGUCUCACUUCUACAAGUCAAGGAUCCCUUAUUUAAGAGAAUGGGUGCGUCCAGAUUAGCUCGUUUUGCUAUAGAUGACGAGAAAAGGAUGAAAAUAGUUGAGAUUGGUGGAGCUCAACAGCUUUUGAACAUGUUAGAGUUUGCCAGAGAUGAUCGCACGAGGAAGGAGUCCUUGAAGGCUCUUUUUGCUAUUUCAAAUCAGAAGAAGAAGACGACGAAGAAGGAUGAAGUAGCAAUAACAAUAGCAGAAGAAGGAGGAGGAGGAGGAGGACGACGACGAUGAAAGCAAAAGAAGAAGAUGAAGGUCGAAGAAGAAACUGACCAUUUUUUAGUAAUUAAGUUUACGGAAUAGUCUUUUCACGUACUAUUUCCAAAAAAGAAUGUCUCUUUCUUAUUUGACAACUCUUUAAUUUCAACAGUUCACAUGACAUGCUUAAGAGUUAAGACCACAGGAUUAAAAAACAUUUUGGUAUAGUAUUAAUAUCUUUAGUGUAAGACCACAAGAUUCAAAAGUCUUCUUUACUUUCAUAAACUCCGUGCUCAAUCAAACUAGGACAAAUAAAUUGAAAUAGAGGGAUUAUAACACUGAGUGAAGAAAACAUCUAGACAACUUCCUUUUUUAUCACACCAUCAAUCUGGUGCUAUUUUCGUGAAUCUAGACAUAGAACUUUAAUUGAAAAAAAUCAUUUAGUUGUCAGAGAAUGUUACCCUACUUCACAUUGUAAAGAAAUGUUAAUGAGAGGAUGUUAGAAUGUAUGCGUCCACUAAUGAUCACUGGACCAAGUCCACAAACAGAAUAAUAGUGCGGAAAAUAAAUAGCUCAAAUUAGAUCAGGCACAAGGAUUUUACGUGAAACCCCCUUGCUCAAGGGAUGUGAAAACCACGACCUGUACGCACAAGAUUUCAACCCAAACUCCAUUUCACUCAAACGGAGCAAAGUUUCAGAUUACAAACUCUUGCAACCUAGGAAUUAAAACUCUUUAAUCUCUUCCCCCUUACUGUAGCAACUCUACUACAAAGGAAACUAAGCAAUAACUCUAUUGCCCACUAAACCAACUAACUCUAGUUGAUCUAGACUUUAAGAACCCAACAAGGCUAACUCUAGCCACCAACUUAGAUCUUGAAGAUAAGAGCUAAACAAGCAACAACUCUGUUGCACCCCCACAUCAACUAACUCUAGUUGACACUCCUAGGCAAUUCUAUCCAAGAGAACAUCAAAACAAUGAUGUAAAGGGGUUUGACUAAAAGAUAGAUGAUUCGACUAACUAACUCUAGUUAAUACGACUCAAACUAAAAACUUAGACAAGCAACCGAUUUACUAUCCUUUAUAACUUAUGAGUAGAUUUACAAUAUAAGAACAUAAGACACAACUCAAAAUACAACAAAGAUGCUUUAGCACUCCAUCAGGUCCCUUGUUGACUAUGAGCAGUGUUCUUCCUUGAAGAUGGUUUUUUCUUUGUAAGCUUAUGAAUUUUCAGAAUUCAAAACUUUGUUUGCCAAAUCUUAAGUUGUGUCUUUGGAGAAGAGACUAUAUUCAAAUGGACACAAACCCUUCGGACAAGGCCAUUGGCUGAGAGCCUGCUAUUUUGAAAAGUUGUGCACCAACCAUGACAGUUGUGACAGUUUUUAGACAGCUGUCUUUUGUCUUUUUCGUGUGCGUAGUCUUUCCUCAACCAGGUCCUCUUGUUAGAUCCGGAAGUUUGUUAAAUCAUCAAAACUUCAAAUCAACUUAAAAUAACAGAGGAGUCUGCUUACUGGUUGAACCUCUUGGUAGUUCUUCCACCUAUUGGCACCCCAGAAUUUUGUGAUUGAACAAUCUCUGGGCAUUUCCACAACGAUACAUGCUUCUGUGCUAUAGACUAAUUGUAUGCUCGACGUUUCCUUGGAAAAAUUCGCCCUAAAUGCCUUUUAAUUAUACCGCCAAACUGUUAAGCACAAAGUUAAUAGACAAAAUGAAGUAGCUGGACUAGAAGUCUUCUAUAAUUUUGUGGACUUGGUUUUAUCAGUGAAGCUGUUUGGAUUAGACAAAUUUGGAUUUACUUUUGUCAGAGAAACCUCAGAUACUACUAGGAUUAGUUACAUAGUGUCUGUGACUACCCUGUAUUUGUUAUGAUGCAUAGUAAUUAACAUUUCACGUCUUCUGAGACAAAAAUUCACUUUAAUUGCAUGGUUUGCUAGUUGAAGCCAGGCCAAACUUGGCGCUGGUACUUGAGAAAUCAACCCAGGCCCCAGGCUAAAGAAUUCUCAGCUUAAACAAGAAAUUCUCUGGUGCUUGUGGCUUGUUACAUGUGUAUUUAAGGCAAAUGCAAGCUGUACAACUUGAGUCAGUUUUGUGUAGUGUUUAACUUUAGAUGUAUGAAGACUUCUUAUUUUAUUUGUGUGGCCCUUGCUUCCUUAUCCUUUUUUGGCUGAUGAAACUAAUCGGAGAUUAAGAUCAAUUGCCUGAUGAUACUACAUAUAUGUUGCUAGGCCUGAUGUUUGGUUAGCUUCAAAUUGACACCUUCCAUUAGUGUCAGAUGUUACUGAACCUUGCUGAGGCACUUGUUAUCUGUGAUUGUAUAUGGGCUUCAAUGGAUGUAGUGUCUAGUGCUCAUUCUUAUACUGCAGAUGAGGCUGCUGAGGUAUUACAUCAAGCUGGGGCUAUAUCAAUCCUCAAUUCCACUCUCGAGUCUGCUGAGGAUGCUGAAGUUGGGAAAUAAAUACAAGUCAAAUUUGCUGAUUAGAUUUCAAAAUUUAUCAUAUGCUGUAAGGUCUUGAGAUAACUAUUAUCAGGAAAUUGUCCAUAACGUCUUUACAUAUAUGUUUUCUUAGAUUGCUGACCUUUUAGAAAUCUUCUUCUAAGAAAGUUGACAGAAUUCUUACAUGGUUGUUACAUGUAAUUUAUGUUACAUUUCCACUAGAAAGCCAUAGUUAUGCUAAGUGAAAGGUCUCUUGUUUAAUGGGAUCUUAAACAUUGCCAGCGAGUGAGUUAAUCUAUAUUGUUGUAAAUUCAUUAAGGGGCAUCAGAAUGGAAAAACAAUCUGGAUGCCCCAUGCAAAGUUGCCAUUGGCACACAAGAUCCUGUUGUUUUUCCUAUUAAUCUUGAAGUUAGGUCAUUUGGAUUUCUUACUUCUUAAAAGGAUUGGUAAA